GAUGAACGCUGGCGGCGUGCCUAAUACAUGCAAGUCGAGCGAACAGACGAGGAGCUUGCUCCUCUGACGUUAGCGGCGGACGGGUGAGUAACACGUGGAUAACCUGCCUAUAAGACUGGGAUAACUUCGGGAAACCUGAGCGAAUACCUGAGAAUAUAUUGAACCGCAUGGGUCAAUAGUGAAAGACGGUUUUGCUGUCACUUAUAGAUGGAUCCGCGCCGCAUUAGCUAGUUGGUAAGGUAACGGCUUACCAAGGCAACGAUGCGUAGCCGACCUGAGAGGGUGAUCGGCCACACUGGAACUGAGACCCGGUCCAGACUCCUACGGGAGGCAGCAGUAGGGAAUCUUGCGCAAUGGGCGAAAGCCUGACGGAGCAACGCCGCGUGAGUGAUGAAGGUCUUCGGAUCGUAAAACUCUGUUAUUAGGGAAGAACAAAUGUGUAAGUAACUAUGCACGUCUUGACGGUACCUAAUCAGAAAGCCACGGCUAACUACGUG
This 497-nucleotide ribosomal RNA is filed under the name uncultured bacterium. RNAcentral describes it as "partial 16S ribosomal RNA". It matches the Rfam family "Bacterial small subunit ribosomal RNA", at positions 28 to 507 of the family's 1533-position model. The record is from RNAcentral.